GUUCAACUCGAAUCAAAUUAGGAUUUGAUCAAUCUAACCAAUUAAGGAAUUGAUAAAUUUAAAUCUAGAUUUGUACUUAUGUCAAUAUAUUAUUAAAAAGAGGAUUAUAUUCCUCUAUAUAUUAUACGGGAAUCUUUAGAAAAUCCUAGCAGUCAUCUUUCUUCUCUUCUCUCUUCCAUCUUCUAGCAAAAAGACGUCCUUUGCAAGGGAGCUAGAAUCUCGGUGAGGACAUCGAUCAAAUCAUCAACCUCGUGUAGAUAUCUAUAGAGGCCGAACGUGUGUGCGGCUUCAAGAGAAGCCAAUUCCACGACCAUCAAAUUGAGGUGAAGAUCUAUCCGCGUAAAAGGUAAAGAUUCGAUCUUAUUUUUCUCCUUUAAUCUUAAAGAACAUGAGGGAUCCUAAUUGCGUAGUUUUUUUAGAUUGGAUCUCGAGAGUUUUCAAAAUCAAAUUUAUUUGAUUUCUUUUUCCGCUGCGUUUUUACCGUACGCAAUUUUCUUACAAUCCGUUCACAAAACUGACGGACGGAUCUUCCAGAAAUUCAAAAUGUUCGCAAAGGGGUCGAAAGUGGCAAUACGCAAAAGUCGCAAAACUCCCUAUAUUUUAUGCACCGUUUUGCGUGAUUUCGAACGUCGAGGUACGUAGGUGCGAAACACGCGUUGUGAGGGACCGGGUUAAAAAUAUUCAGCUUUGGAGGACCUUUAUGCAAAACUACACUUAUAAAAAUAAUAAAAAAUAAAAAUAAAAAUCUAUUUUCUUCUACAGAAAAGAUAAAAAAUUAUAUAAAAAGAAAGAAGAUGAUAAAAUUGAACUGUUAGAAUAAAAUUACACUGUUAUGAAAAAUGUUUUUGCACUAUUUUAAGUGAAAGUUGCACUCUUUGAUACAGAAAUUAUACUUUUUAGGAUGAAAGUUAUACUCUUUAGACCAAAAUUACACUAUUUAGAAUGAGAGUUACACUCUUUAGGCCAAAAUUGUACUAUUUCUUUUUCUUUUCUUCUUCUUUUUCCUUCCUCUCAUCCUAAUCGGCAUCCUUUCCUCUUUCCUUCCCCUCCCUUCCUCUUCGCCCUCCCUUUCGCACGCGUGCUCUCCGUCCACCUCGACCGCGCCACCGACGUAGUCCGCGCCUGGUGGCGGCAGCGGCAGACGCUCCCGUUCUCGUUCCCGUUCCCGUCGCCGUUCGCGAUCAUGGCCUCCGUCUCAGUUACCUUAUGCUGUUCCUCUGCGGUCAGCCUCCUGCGCUUCCGGGGCCCAGCGGAGGCGCCCAGGUGGUCUCACAGGGCCCUGUCCAGCAACGACUCAUCGUAGUUUAUCGGCAGCGCGUUGCGAUGCCUCGGCAACUGCCUGGGUGGUGCUGGAGUCCAUCGGUGGGGAUGCGGAGGGGGCCGAGCAAGAGAGAGCGGGGAGGACGAGGGAAGGCAGGUGAAGAAGAAGAGGGUGAGCGCAUUCGAGCCCGAAGCUCGAUGGAGAUAAACAUGGAGCUAGAGAAGAAGAGGAGGCGGGGGCGGUUGUGGUCACCGCAAGUGAGCAUAAGCUGCCAUUGCUCUCACUGCUCUUCGUCUCCUUGACAAAUAAAUAAAUAAAUAAAUAAGUAAAUUAAUUUGAAAAUAGUGUGUCGCUUAUUUUGAAAUAAAGGAUCCUUUAUUUAUUUUAAUUGGAGGAGUGCCUGUGGGAAUCCUUGUGGUUCUCGCACAUGGCGUCGACACGCUAAAAGAAAGCCUCGGACUCCCGGCAAAAGUUUCGAGCACAUUCGCUUGGGGAGCGUCGAAUUAAUUAGCAACGGGAACAAGAACGGGAGCGUUCACCGCUACUGCCACCGGCCGCGGACUGCAUCGGCAGCGCAGAGAGGAAGGGAGGGAGAGGAAAGGGGAAACGAUGAUGAUGAGGAUGAGAGGAAAGAGGAGAAAGAAGAAGAAAAGAAAAAGAAAUAGUGCAAUUUUGAUCUAAAAAGUGUAAUUCUUCUUCUAAAUAGUGCAAUUUUGGCUUAAAGAUUGUAACUCUCAUUCUAAACAAUGUAUUUUCUAUAUCAAAGAGUGUAAUUUUUAUUGAAAAUCGUACAAAAAUUUUUUAUAACAGUUUAAUUUUAUUUUAGCAGUGCAAUUUCAUCAUAUUCUUCUUUUUUAUAUAAUUUUUGAUUUUUUCUGUAGAAAAAAAUAUGUUUAUUCUUAUUUUUUUAUUAUUCUUAUUUUUUCUCUUUCUAGUU
Molecule: long non-coding RNA, 2198 nt
Filed under: Ananas comosus (pineapple)
Lineage: Eukaryota; Viridiplantae; Streptophyta; Magnoliopsida; Poales; Bromeliaceae
Description: long non-coding RNA (ACOM_LNC009275)
Source: RNAcentral